UACGAAGGGGGCUAGCGUUGUUCGGAAUCACUGGGCGUAAAGCGCACGUAGGCGGAUCUUUAAGUCAGGGGUGAAAUCCCAGAGCUCAACUCUGGAACUGCCUUUGAUACUGGAGAUCUCGAGUCCGGAAGAGGUAAGUGGAACUGCGAGUGUAGAGGUGAAAUUCGUAGAUAUUCGCAAGAACACCAGUGGCGAAGGCGGCUUACUGGUCCGGUACUGACGCUGAGGUGCGAAAGCGUGGGGAGCAAACAGG
RNAcentral lists this ribosomal RNA (253 nucleotides) under uncultured prokaryote. RNAcentral's name for it is "partial 16S ribosomal RNA". It matches the Rfam family "Bacterial small subunit ribosomal RNA", at positions 524 to 776 of the family's 1533-position model. The record is from RNAcentral.